AGAAGGUGGAAGUGAUAUUAUGCCAGGUCCAGACUUAGGCCUUAGGAGGCCUGGCAGUUUCCAUUUUCACCCUCUUGGGAUCCAGCCACUAUGAAACCAAGUUCACCUGCUUUAUUGGAGAGAGAAAUGACCUAGAAGAUGAAAGACAGCAAAGGGAGAGCAGGAUGCCCAGCCAGCCACCAGCCAUUCUGACCCCUUCAGCUGAGGCACUGCAUGGAUGGAGUCUCACUUUGCUGGCCCAGGCUGGAGUGCCGUGGCCCCAUCCUGGCUCACUGCAACCUCUGCCUCCCAGGUUCAAGUGAUUCUCCUGCCUCAGCCUCCUGAGUAGCUGGGACUACAGGCAUCGCUGGGGAGAAUGAACGCCUGAGUACUCAUGUCUUUAUGCACUGUAGUAUUAUUUCCUUACAACAGACUCCUGAACCUGGAACGGCAGUGUCAAAGGGUUCACAAAAUGUUAGACUUCUGAAGCAAAUCAGAUGGCACCUUUUUUGAAUAAUGAAGAAUCUUUACCCCUGGCAUGAGGAGCUGAGGACAACUCCCACUCCACGAUGUGAAGCCACAGAGUUUCGAGGCCCCAGGACCUCCAGCGUCAAUGUUGUGGGAUGAUGGGUGACAGAGCCAAAGCAUCGCCAUCUUGGACAAGCACGGUCAUUCUGAAGUUCCCCUUGAUCAAAAACUGCCUAAACCCAAAGGAUAUCAGCCUGAUGGCUAAGAUGCCUCCUGAUUGACCUAGUACACUGGGUUAAAAGGGAAUUAAAAACAUU
RNAcentral lists this long non-coding RNA (764 nucleotides) under Homo sapiens (human). Its description in RNAcentral is "lncAB124.1". Lineage: Eukaryota; Metazoa; Chordata; Mammalia; Primates; Hominidae. The record is from RNAcentral.